GAUGAACGCUGGCGGCGUGCCUAAUACAUGCAAGUCGAGCGAACAGACGAGGAGCUUGCUCCUCUGACGUUAGCAGCGGACGGGUGAGUAACGCGUGGAUAAGCUACCUAUGAGCCUGGGAUAACUUCGGGAAACCGAAGCUAAUACCGGAUAAUCUCUUGAACCGCAUGGUUCAAUAGUGAAAGACGGUUUUGCUGUCACUCAUAGAGGGAUCCGCGCGGCAUUAGCUAGUUGGUAAGGUAACGACUUACCAGGGCAACGAUGAGUAGCCGACUUGAGCGGGUGAUCGGCCACACGGGAACGGAGACACGGACCAGACGCCUACGGGAGGAAGCAGUGGGGAAUCUGCGGCAAUGGGCGAAAGCCUGACGGAGCAACGCCGCGUGGGUGAGGAAGGUCUUCGGAUCGUAAAACUCUGUUAUUAGGGAAGAACAAAUGUGUAAUUAACUACGCACGUCUUGACGGUACCUAAUCAGAAAGCCACGGCUAACUACGUG
Molecule: ribosomal RNA, 497 nt
Filed under: uncultured bacterium
Lineage: Bacteria
Description: partial 16S ribosomal RNA
Rfam family: Bacterial small subunit ribosomal RNA
Source: RNAcentral